Molecule: ribosomal RNA, 253 nt
Filed under: uncultured bacterium
Lineage: Bacteria
Description: partial 16S ribosomal RNA
Rfam family: Bacterial small subunit ribosomal RNA
Source: RNAcentral
UACGUAGGGUGCAAGCGUUAAUCGGAAUUACUGGGCGUAAAGCGUGCGCAGGCGGCUUUGCAAGACAGAUGUGAAAUCCCCGGGCCCAACCUGGGAACUGCAUUUGUGACUGCAUGGCUAGAGUACGGUAGAGGGGGAUGGAAUUCCGCGUGUAGCAGUGAAAUGCGUAGAUAUGCGGAGGAACACCGAUGGCGAAGGCAAUCCCCUGGACCUGUACUGACGCUCAUGCACGAAAGCGUGGGGAGCAAACAGG